GACGAACGCUGGCGGCGUGCUUAACACAUGCAAGUCGAACGGAAAGGCCCCUUUGGGGGUACUCGAGUGGCGAACGGGUGAGUAACACGUGAGUAACCUGCCCUUGACUUCGGGAUAACUUCAGGAAACUGGGGCUAAUACCGGAUAGGAAUCCUUGCUGCAUGGUGGGGGUUGGAAAGCUUCGGCGGUUUUGGAUGGACUCGCGGCUUAUCAGCUUGUUGGUGGGGUAGUGGCUUACCAAGGCUUUGAUGGGUAGCCGGCCUGAGAGGGCGACCGGCCACAUUGGGACUGAGAUACGGCCCAGACUCCUACGGGAGGCAGCAGUGGGGAAUAUUGCACAAUGGGCGGAAGCCUGAUGCAGCAACGCCGCGUGCGGGAUGACGGCCUUCGGGUUGUAAACCGCUUUCAGCAGGGGCGAAGCUUGUGGUGACGGUACCUGCAGAAGAAGCACCGGCUAACUACGUG
This 465-nucleotide ribosomal RNA is filed under the name uncultured bacterium. Its description in RNAcentral is "partial 16S ribosomal RNA". It matches the Rfam family "Bacterial small subunit ribosomal RNA", at positions 28 to 507 of the family's 1533-position model. The record is from RNAcentral.